RNAcentral lists this ribosomal RNA (498 nucleotides) under uncultured bacterium. RNAcentral's name for it is "partial 16S ribosomal RNA". It matches the Rfam family "Bacterial small subunit ribosomal RNA", at positions 29 to 523 of the family's 1533-position model. The record is from RNAcentral.
AGUGAACGCUGGCGGCGUGCUUAACACAUGCAAGUCGAGCGGAGAUACUUGAAGGAAGUUUUCGGAUGGAAUUUGAGUAUUUUAGCGGCGGACGGGUGAGUAACGCGUGAGUGACCUGCCUUCCACAGGGGGAUAACGUACCGAAAGGUACACUAAUACCGCAUGAGACCACAGCACUGCCUGGUGCAGGGGUCAAAGGAGCAAUCCGGUGGAAGAUGGACUCGCGUCCGAUUAGAUAGUUGGUGGGGUAACGGCCUACCAAGUCAGCGAUCGGUAGCCGACCUGAGAGGGUGAUCGGCCACAUUGGAACUGAGAGACGGUCCAAACUCCUACGGGAGGCAGCAGUGGGGAAUAUUGGGCAAUGGGGGAAACCCUGACCCAGCGACGCCGCGUGAGGGAAGAAGGUUUUCGGAUUGUAAACCUCUGUUCUUGGUGAAGAGGGAAAGACGGUAGCCAAGGAGGAAGCCCCGGCUAACUACGUGCCAGCCGCCGCCGUAA